CCUACGGGAGGCAGCAGUAGGGAAUUUUCCGCAAUGGGCGAAAGCCUGACGGAGCAAUACCGCGUGAGGGAUGACUGCCUAUGGGUUGUAAACCUCUUUUUUCAGGGAGGAACAAAAUGACGUGUACCUGAAGAAUAAGCAUCGGCUAACUCCGUGCCAGCAGCCGCGGUAAGACGGAGGAUGCAAGUGUUAUCCGGAAUCACUGGGCGUAAAGCGUCUGUAGGUGGUUUAAUAAGUCAACUGUUAAAUCUUGAGGCUUAACCUCAAAAUCGCAGUCGAAACUAUUAGACUAGAGUAUAGUAGGGGUAAAGGGAAUUUCCAGUGGAGCGGUGAAAUGCGUAGAGAUUGGAAAGAACACCGAUGGCGAAGGCACUUUACUGGGCUAUUACUGACACUCAGAGACGAAAGCUAGGGUAGCAAAUGGGAUUAGAUACCCCAGUAGUCCUAGCUGUAAACCAUGGAUACUAGAUGUUGAACAGAUCGACCUGUGCAGUAUCAAAGCUAACGCGUUAAGUAUCCCGCCUGGGGAAGUAUGCUCGCAAGAGUGAAACUCAAAUGAAUUGACCGG
Molecule: ribosomal RNA, 568 nt
Filed under: uncultured bacterium
Lineage: Bacteria
Description: bacterial SSU rRNA
Rfam family: Bacterial small subunit ribosomal RNA
Source: RNAcentral